CUCUCCACCCAGCUCCAGAAUGAGCAUCGGAGAAUCGAUGAACUAGGAUGGCUCUAAUUUUAUACAGUGUCAGAAAGCAAGAAAAAGUCCUGAAAAUUAAAAUUGCUUGAGUGUCUCUGAAUAUGUCUGACCCUUCCAAAGCCCCUCAGGGCCUCCAGAGCUAUGUCUUUAGGACAAGCAGCAGACAGCAGAGCAGGCGGGAAGCAGACUGGUUUUCUCCUUGAAGAGAUGCAAGAAAGGAAAUUCCCCUGUGUUUCAUUUCCAUCAAGAAGCCAGCAGCACUGAGCAAAUGGCACAAAGAAAAGGCAUUGCUUCCACAGUUGCACUGAGAACAGGUAAGGAACAAGAGACACAGAGAGUAGAAGGGACUUGUCCAACGUCACAGAGCUCAUCGGUGAUGGAGGCAGGAUUUGAACACUCAGCCAGAUUGGCCACCAAGCUACUGUUGCCACCAGACCCUUGCACCCGACACAGCGAACUCUCCACCCUUCAACCGUUGCCUCCAUCCCAGACAGGCUGUCUCCUGGAGGACUGCAAACCCUCCCCCUCGCCUCAGGAGCCUCGCCGCACCCAGCCCCAGCCCCACACAGUUGACAAGAAGGUCGGUUCUGUCUCUGGCCAGUCCAUAAGCUCCUUACAGCUGGAGGAUGUCACAUGCUUACUGAGACCUGAAGGCCUGGAUUUCCCAGACAAGCCUGAUCCCAAAUAAGCUGGGCUGUCGUUAAAUCCUGUAUGUGUAGGCGGUCCACGCUGCCUCAGUAGAUGCUUCCCCCAUCCCUGCAGCAGCUCUUGGGGUGAAAUAAGGGCUAGGGUUUCAUGGCAAAGUAAGUUUGGGAAAUACUGAGUUAAACUUACAUGUUUCUUAACUGUGGGGCUUCUCAGAGCUUCUAAAAGGCUAAAGGCUCACUGAUCAUCUGUGAGAGGAUGUGGUAGUACACAGAUGUGGCAGCUUCCCAAAGGGAUGUGACCAGGGAACAAACCCUUUGUCACUGAGUAUCUCAAGGGAACCCACUUUGAGAAACACUUCCUAGAGAAACAUAAUUAGUCCCGGCCCAACAUAGAGUCUCUAUAAGUCAUCUCCAUGUAGAGCAGCAGAAGGAAGCGUGGCAAGGGUGGCUACAACCACCUGAGACUUCACAUCCUCAAAUACCCAAGAAUUUCAACCCAAUCCUCCCGCCACCUUCUCCCCCCAAGUUGAUCAACUUGAACUUGUUUACAACUUGUGGGCAGUUUACCUUCUGGAAGACCACAAUCUGAAGCAGCCAGUAGAAAAAAAGGUAAAGUCAGGCUUCUGGAUAAUCAAAAAGUGAAACAUCCCUUGCGAAAUUCUGAGUUGGCUUUAAAGGAACUGGGGGUGGUGGGAGGGGAGGACGGACUGUGAAAACGCUGGCCUAAUGCCAUCUGGUACCUGGAUAAUGAGAAAAUGCCUUAUGUUGUGUGGUUUUGCGGGAUACCUUCACAUCCAUUUCUUUACUUCUCCUCACAAUAACUGUGUGGUGAUUAAGACAAAUAUUUCCAUUAACUGGUUCUAGAAACUGAGGCCCAGAGAGGGUAAGUGAUCUCUCCAAGAUCACACAGCUAUUUGUGAGUAUAGCUGGAAGCACUUUGAAGAAGGGCCCAGAGCUCAUUCAAUGGCCCCAUUUCAAGCUUUUGGUUGUGGUAUUUCUUUUAAGAGGAUCUAUGCAAAUGUGCUUCCUAAGGAGAGAGACUGUGGGUAGUGCUCACCCAGGCAUAAGGGUGCUCCCAGUACCCACCAACCUGUGCAAGGUCAGAGAGAUCCAUCCGGAAGCUACAGGUCAUGCAAGCCCAUGACCUCCUCCUCCAGGAGCUGCCCACUCAUCCAGGUGAUCUCAUAAAGCCCCGCAGCCACACACAACAUCCACUUUAGCCAAAUCCUCUGAUGUGUGCAGGUCCCCGAGGGAUGCUCUGGACAGGUGAGACAGGCCCAGAUUUGACUCCAGCUCCAGCCUUGCUAAAGCCACUUCGUUACUCCCUGAAAUUCCACUUUCUCAGCUAUGAAGCUGGGUAAGUAACCUCCGCCCUGCCUACUUGGCACAUCUGUGUGAGGAGCGCACGAGAGACUGUCUGGGGGCUGCUGCAUGCUACCGAGGUAUCCUCAUUGCUGCUGCUCACGGGGCUCUGGGCUGUGUGCCUGAACCGCAGGAUAGCUUCCUUCUGGGCCUCUCUGAGGGUGUGAUUGCAGAACCCCAUUCUUGAUGUCUUGCAAACAGCAACGGUGGGUCCAAGGGACUUUGUGCCCCUUUUGCCUGGUGGUGGCUGUGGAACCAAGCCCUGGGACCCAGGACCAGCUGCAGUGGACUGGGAGCUGACUCCACUCCAAAGAGCAUCUUCUCUGUGUCCUCACACACCACCAGUCAGGGCCCAGAGGGACUUAAAGGAAAGAACAUGAACACAAUGUGAGAAUUAGAGGCCAGGCGGUAAGGGCUGCCCACUGCUGCUCAGCCCUCUGCAGCCUCAGCCAGCUCAUGCAAUCCACCCAGUGGACCCUGUGUUAUUCAAGCCCACUGUCACCACCACAUUUUUCCUGGACCAGCAUGUGCUGGUGUUGGAUGCAUCCUGCAUGCAUGCAGCAGGAGUCCCGGCUGCACCUGGUGAGCUGCUGGGCACCCCCACCCCAAUAUGUCUAUUUGCACGAUUUAAAUGUCUUAGGAGGUGAAGAUGUUUGUUUAAGGUAGUUUAGGGGAGGCUUGGAGCAGAGUCAGAGAUGGCCUGAAGUUGCUUCUCCAACCCUCCCUCAGAACAAGACUGAGCCCUGUGAGGAAAUAGUGCAGACAGAGCCAAAAGAACUUCUCUAAGCAACCCUGGGGGGCUUGAGCUGCAGGGCUGACAUGAAAGAGUGAGUCAAGGUGGAGGAAGGCACAUCUCUCCUCUCCAUUCAGGAUAUCAGCGAGACUCUGUACUCCAGUCUAUGGAAGGAGGCAUGAUUUGGUGGACCGUCUGUCCACCAGCCUGCCUCCACCCUGCCUUAGGCUUUCCUAUCGGAGGCAAUGAUGGUUUAGCCCAGUAUUCCCAGAGCAUCUUCUCCAGAGCACCGGGUCCUUGGGAUGCUAAUGCAUGUUAAAUCAAAAGGGUUCCAUGGUAAGUGGAGUUCGGGAAAGAUAAACAGGUGCCCUCGCUGCAGAGUCUUGCUUCUCAGAGCCUUGAAUAUGAUGAUAUUUGUUCAUGGGCUCGAUGAGGAAGAUGUAGUGUGCUGCAGUCAUAACUGCAGAGCAUGCCACAAUAUCACAG
This 3249-nucleotide long non-coding RNA is filed under the name Equus caballus (horse). RNAcentral's name for it is "lncRNA (ENSECAG00000043450.2)". The record is from RNAcentral. Lineage: Eukaryota; Metazoa; Chordata; Mammalia; Perissodactyla; Equidae.